RNAcentral lists this ribosomal RNA (798 nucleotides) under uncultured archaeon. RNAcentral describes it as "bacterial SSU rRNA". It matches the Rfam family "Archaeal small subunit ribosomal RNA", at positions 84 to 880 of the family's 1478-position model. The record is from RNAcentral.
UACUGCUCAGUAACACGUGGAUAACCUGCCCUUGGGUCCGGCAUAACCCCGGGAAACUGGGGAUAAUUCCGGAUAACGCACAUAUGCUGGAAUGCUUUAUGCGUCAAAUGGAUUCGUCUGCCCAAGGAUGGGUCUGCGGCCUAUCAGGUAGUAGUGGGUGUAAUGUACCUACUAGCCGACGACGGGUACGGGCUAUGAGAGCAAGAGCCCGGAGAUGGAUUCUGAGACAUGAAUCCAGGCCCUACGGGGCGCAGCAGGCGCGAAAACUUUACAAUGCGGGAAACCGUGAUAAGGGGACACCGAGUGCCAGCGUCAUACGCUGGCUGUCCAGGUGUGUAAAAUACACCUGUUAGCAAGGGCCGGGCAAGACCGGUGCCAGCCGCCGCGGUAACACCGGCGGCCCGAGUGGUGAUCGUGAUUAUUGGGUCUAAAGGGUCCGUAGCCGGUUUGGUCAGUCCUCCGGGAAAUCUGAUAGCUCAACUGUUAGGCUUUCGGGGGAUACUGCCAGACUUGGAACCGGGAGAGGUAAGAGGUACUACAGGGGUAGGAGUGAAACCUUGUAAUCCCUGUGGGACCACCUGUGGCGAAGGCGUCUUACCAGAACGGGUUCGACGGUGAGGGACGAAAGCUGGGGGCACGAACCGGAUUAGAUACCCGGGUAGUCCCAGCCGUAAACGAUGCUCGCUAGGUGUCAGGCAUGGCGCGACCGUGUCUGGUGCCGCAGGGAAGCCGUGAAGCGAGCCACCUGGGAAGUACGGCCGCAAGGCUGAAACUUAAAGGAAUUGGCGGGGGAGCACA